UCUUCCUGGAUUUCAGGCCUGCUGGCUUUUAGACUGGAAUUUAUACAAUGCUUUCCUGAUUCUCAGGCUUUAGGACUCAAACUAGAGCUGCACUAUUUGAUCUCUCCUGACAUCUUCUCAACCUCCAAAAUCAUGAUGACCAUAAUGGCUUGACUCCUGCAGGAACUAAUUAAUUAAGGAAGACAGCACAACAGCUGUAUAGUUGGUAAGUAACCAGAAAAUUGGUCAGUUUUCUUUAAUUACGUCAGUCACAUAUGAUGUUUAAAAAG
This 269-nucleotide long non-coding RNA is filed under the name Mustela putorius furo (domestic ferret). RNAcentral describes it as "lncRNA (ENSMPUG00000030246.1)". The record is from RNAcentral. Lineage: Eukaryota; Metazoa; Chordata; Mammalia; Carnivora; Mustelidae.